UUCCGAGACGAGGUGCUGCAGUGGCUGUCGUCAGCUCGUGCCGUGAGGUGGUUAGGGUUAACGUCCCGUAACGAGCGCCUAACCUUGUCCUUAGUUACCAGCACGUUAUGGUGGGCACUCUAAGGAGACUGCCGGUGACAAACCGGAGGAAGGUGGGAUGACGUCAAGUCAUCAUGGCCCUUACGGCCUGGGCUACACACGUGCUACAAUGGUCGGUACAAAGGGUUGCCAAGCCGCGAGGUGGAGCUAAUCCCAUAAAACCGAUCGUAGUCCGGAUCGCAGUCUGCAACUCGACUGCGUGAAGUCGGAAUCGCUAGUAAUCGUGAAUCAGAAUGUCACGGUGAAUACGUUCCCGGGCCUU
RNAcentral lists this ribosomal RNA (361 nucleotides) under uncultured Pseudomonas sp. RNAcentral describes it as "bacterial SSU rRNA". It matches the Rfam family "Bacterial small subunit ribosomal RNA", at positions 1026 to 1382 of the family's 1533-position model. The record is from RNAcentral. Lineage: Bacteria; Pseudomonadati; Pseudomonadota; Gammaproteobacteria; Pseudomonadales; Pseudomonadaceae.